Molecule: long non-coding RNA, 705 nt
Organism: Scophthalmus maximus (turbot)
Lineage: Eukaryota; Metazoa; Chordata; Actinopteri; Pleuronectiformes; Scophthalmidae
Exons: 3
Source: RefSeq, a predicted model, not a curated record
AGUCGGUGAAAACCUGCGAGUUUGUGCGAGCCACUUUGUGUCGGACUGUUCUUCAAGCCGGGGCCAGUACAACACCGGACUGGCAGAAAAAGAUGGAGCAAUUCCAACUGUCCUUGGCGAAGCUACAGAGGAGAGAAAUAGUGCAUCACACCUAUCGGCAACACCCAUGCUCAACGGUUUAAAGAACCAUGUGCAACCUCAGGGCCUGAGAAGGUGGCCAAGUGGACUUCACUGUUUUACCACAUCCAAAACAUCCAUGGGCGUGAAGACCCCCUCUCCCUAAAGACAAAAAGGGUGAAGCCACCACAAAGCCUGUUAAAACAGAACCCACAUUCAAUUAUGUGGGUGACUUCAUGAGGAUGGUGUUUGAGGACCCAGAACCAUUUGUGGAGGAGUUGAAAAAAAUCCCCAUCCCCAAUAUGACAGGCCGUCAAAGGAGGAAGUGGUUGCCUGCUAAAUGUCAGGCUUCAGUCAAGGGGCGGUCGGAAGCCAACAUACUGGUCAACUGGAUCAGGAAACUCCUUGCGGAUCCGGAGGACGACACUUGACAGGAUGACGGCCCUGUAGUGGGGUCCCACAGCACCAACUGCGAGGAAAAACAAUGAAAACAGUGAGGCAUUAUUUUAGUUGCAAAUUGCCCUUCUACUGAUAAAUAUUUUUUUAUCUAUGUAUAUUUCUGGUUUCCUUACAUUUGCAAAAAAUAAA